UACGGGGGGGGUAAGCGUUGUUCGGAAUUACUGGGCGUAAAGGGCUCGUAGGCGGCCAACUAAGUCGUACGUGAAAUCCCUCAGCUUAACUGGGGAACUGCGUGUGAUACUGGAUGGCUUGGAUUUGGGAGAGGGAUGCGGAAUUCCAGGUGUAGCGGUGAAAUGCGUAGAUAUCUGGAGGAACACCGGUGGCGAAGGCGGCAUCCUGGACCAAUAUUGACGCUGAGGAGCGAAAGCUAGGGGAGCAAACGGG
RNAcentral lists this ribosomal RNA (253 nucleotides) under uncultured bacterium. RNAcentral's name for it is "partial 16S ribosomal RNA". It matches the Rfam family "Bacterial small subunit ribosomal RNA", at positions 524 to 776 of the family's 1533-position model. The record is from RNAcentral.